UGGGGAAUUUUGGACAAUGGGCGAAAGCCUGAUCCAGCAAUGCCGCGUGUGUGAAGAAGGCCUUCGGGUUGUAAAGCACUUUUGUCCGGAAAGAAAUCCUUGGCUCUAAUACAGUCGGGGGAUGACGGUACCGGAAGAAUAAGCACCGGCUAACUACGUGCCAGCAGCCGCGGUAAUACGUAGGGUGCAAGCGUUAAUCGGAAUUACUGGGCGUAAAGCGUGCGCAGGCGGUUUGCUAAGACCGAUGUGAAAUCCCCGGGCUCAACCUGGGAACUGCAUUGGUGACUGGCAGGCUAGAGUAUGGCAGAGGGGGGUAGAAUUCCACGUGUAGCAGUGAAAUGCGUAGAGAUGUGGAGGAAUACCGAUGGCGAAGGCAGCCCCCUGGGCCAAUACUGACGCUCAUGCACGAAAGCGUGGGGGAGCAAACAGGAUUAGAUACCCUGGUAGUCCACGCCCCUAAAACGAUGUCAAACUAGUUUGUUGGGGGAUUCAUUUCCUUAGUAACGUAGCUAACGCGUGAAGUUGACCGCCUGGGGAGUACGGUCGCAAGAUU
This 553-nucleotide ribosomal RNA is filed under the name uncultured bacterium. RNAcentral describes it as "partial 16S ribosomal RNA". It matches the Rfam family "Bacterial small subunit ribosomal RNA", at positions 355 to 895 of the family's 1533-position model. The record is from RNAcentral.